CAGUAGCGUAUAUUAAAGUUGUUGCAGUUAAAAGCUCGUAGUUGGAUUUCUGGCUUGAUUUGCCUGGCCCGCUGCGAUUACGUAUGUGAGUGCCGGUGCGCAUCUGCCAUCCUUCUAGAAAACGUCUCUACUCUUUACUGAGCCGGAUUCGCGAUCUAGAUCUUUUACUUUGAAAAAUUAGAGUGUUCAAAGCAGGCUCGCGCUAUGAAUACAUUAGCAUGGAAUAAUAAUUUAGGACUUUGUUUCUAUUUUGUUGGUUUCUAGAGAUAAAGUAAUGAUUGAUAGGGAUAGUUGGGGGUGGCUAGUAUUCAGCGGCCAGAGGUGAAAUUACUUCGGAUUCGCUGAAGACUAACUUAUGCGAAAGACAUUCACCAAGGAUGUCUUCUUUAAUUCAAGAACGAAAGUUAGGGGGAGUCGAAGACGAUCAGAUACCAU
This 435-nucleotide ribosomal RNA is filed under the name uncultured eukaryote. RNAcentral's name for it is "bacterial SSU rRNA". It matches the Rfam family "Eukaryotic small subunit ribosomal RNA", at positions 592 to 1018 of the family's 1831-position model. The record is from RNAcentral.